This 385-nucleotide ribosomal RNA is filed under the name uncultured organism. RNAcentral's name for it is "bacterial SSU rRNA". It matches the Rfam family "Bacterial small subunit ribosomal RNA", at positions 45 to 433 of the family's 1533-position model. The record is from RNAcentral.
UGCUUUACACAUGCAAGUCGAGCGGCAGCGCGGGGGCAACCCUGGCGGCGAGCGGCGAACGGGUGAGUAACACAUCGGAACGUACCCAGUAAUGGGGGAUAACUAACCGAAAGGUACGCUAAUACCGCAUAUGCCCUGAGGGGGAAAGGGGGGAUCGCAAGACCUCUCGCUUUCGGAGUGGCCGAUAUCGGAUUAGCUAGAUGGUGAGGUAAAGGCUCACCAUGGCGACGAUCCGUAGCUGGUCUGAGAGGACGACCAGCCACACUGGAACUGAGACACGGUCCAGACUCCUACGGGAGGCAGCAGUGGGGAAUUUUGGACAAUGGGCGCAAGCCUGAUCCAGCCAUACCGCGUGAGUGAAGAAGGCCUUCGGGUUGUAAAGCUC